ACCGGCUCCUAUCGAAGCCGUUCGUGCUCUCCCGUAGCAGUGAUCGGUCAACAGUGAGCCAAGAGGAAGACUUUCACCGACGGUCGCUGUUCAGUUUGAAGUAACUGUUUUAGCAACAUUUUGGGAAAGGACAUCC
Small nucleolar RNA from Cyclopterus lumpus (lumpfish), 136 nucleotides. The record is from Ensembl. Lineage: Eukaryota; Metazoa; Chordata; Actinopteri; Perciformes; Cyclopteridae.